AUGAGAGGGAGGGGAGUCAGAUUUACUGUAUGGGAUGCGUUUAGCUAGGCCUUUAGGACCAAAACAGAAUCAAGCUAAGGGGAGAGAGAUAAUACCAGGAUCAAAUUGGUUCCAACUCUUCCUUGUUCAAACAUGAAAAAAAAAACUUCACCCGAGUCAAACUACUCCGUCGCGCCAGAAAUCGUCUCCGGCGGCGGAGAUCCAAACCUUCCAAACCAUACAUCAACUUGCUCGUAGCUCAUCCCUCUUCCAUAAUCCCCUAUCCAUUUUCUCUAAUUCCUAAUAAAUCUCCAAAACUGAAAUGAAACAUACAUGAACCCUAAAUUACGAAUUCCAAAAUUAAACGCAUCAAUGGAGGAAUCAAAGCCUAUCAUGUUAGGGCUUUGAUUCCUCAGGUCGAACCUCACAUGGUGGCAACAUGAAUUAACAAAAAUAGAUGACAAAAAGCUUACCUACAAGACGUCGACUUUUCCUAGUGUUCUCUGUGAUGAAGAAGAUGAUGAUAAAGCAAAAACCAGAGAAGCUUCACAGAGGGAAAACUUGGUUAUGGUUGGAUGAUGGAUGAGGAAAACUUAGUCAUGAGCAACCUUGACUUUGUCGCAUGAGACUUAAACAUAGGCAAACUUGGCAUGAUUCACCUUGAAGAAGAUUAGUGGCUUGGAGAUAAAGAUGGAAGCCAUGAAGAUGAAGAAAGGAAUAGGUCUAGGGUUUAGGAUUAGUGGUUGACUUUGGUCAACUGUUUGACCAAAAAGUCAAUAGUUGACCAAAGUCAACUGUAGGUUAAAAAGUGUAGUUUUUUGUAGGUUUUGAUUUUGUAUCUUUUGUGAUGUAAUAUGGAUCUUGAUGACUUGUAAUAAUAUAGCCUCUUUUCAAAUAAACUUGAAUUUCUUUUCCUCCAA
Molecule: long non-coding RNA, 899 nt
Organism: Lathyrus oleraceus (garden pea)
Lineage: Eukaryota; Viridiplantae; Streptophyta; Magnoliopsida; Fabales; Fabaceae
Exons: 2
Source: RefSeq, a predicted model, not a curated record